GAAGACUGAGCUCAGGCGGUGCCACCUCUCUGUCAGGGAGGUUGCACCGCCCAGUCUUGCUCGAAGACUGAGCUCAGGCGGUGCCACCUCCCGGCUGGAGAGGUUGCACCGCCCAGUCUCGCUGGGAGGCUUAGCCCAGGCGGUGCCACCUCCUGGCCUAGGCGGUUGCACCUCCUGGCACUAUUCCAGAUCAUUGGUUGGGCUCCAAACUUGGCCCAAACCAGUCCGAAUUCGGGCCCAAUUGGCCCAAGAUUAAGUUAAUGGGAUCACCUCCCAUUUUCCAACUUAAUCAACGUGCUAACUACGAUUAGUUCUAAGACAAUUUCUGCAGCUUUGCUUCGGUGCGUCAAUCGCUUCUUCCGGCGAGUUUCCGGCGAACUUCCGUCGAUCAUCCGAUGAACCCUCGGUGAUGCUCCUGCGGACUUCUGGCAAACUCCUGGACUUUGCGACGAUCCAC
Molecule: long non-coding RNA, 457 nt
Filed under: Musa acuminata (dwarf banana)
Lineage: Eukaryota; Viridiplantae; Streptophyta; Magnoliopsida; Zingiberales; Musaceae
Description: long non-coding RNA (MACU_LNC008945)
Source: RNAcentral